AUAUUGCACAAUGGGGGCAACCCUGAUGCAGCGACGCUGCGUGAGCGAAGAAGUAUUUCGGUAUGUAAAGCUCUAUCAGCAGGGAAGAAGAUGACGGUACCUGACUAAGAAGCUCCGGCUAAAUACGUGCCAGCAGCCGCGGUAAUACGUAGGGGGCAAGCGUUAUCCGGAUUCACUGGGUGUAAAGGGAGCGUAGGCGGCGAGACAAGUCUGGAGUGAAAGGCCGGGGCCCAACCCCGGGACUGCUCUGGAAACUGCCUGGCUGGAGUACAGGAGAGGUAAGUGGAAUUCCUAGUGUAGCGGUGAAAUGCGUAGAUAUUAGGAGGAACACCAGUGGCGAAGGCGGCUUACUGGACUGUAACUGACGUUGAGGUUCGAAAGCGUGGGUAGCAAACAGG
RNAcentral lists this ribosomal RNA (398 nucleotides) under uncultured bacterium. Its description in RNAcentral is "bacterial SSU rRNA". It matches the Rfam family "Bacterial small subunit ribosomal RNA", at positions 361 to 776 of the family's 1533-position model. The record is from RNAcentral.